UUCCUGGUGGCUCAGAUGGUAAAGCAUCUGCCUACAAUGCAGGAGACCCAGAUUCAAUCCCUGGGUAGGGAA
RNAcentral lists this transfer RNA (72 nucleotides) under Bos taurus (domestic cattle). It matches the Rfam family "tRNA". From Rfam's summary of the family: Transfer RNA (tRNA) molecules are approximately 80 nucleotides in length. RNAcentral also lists the same sequence under 3 other names. Lineage: Eukaryota; Metazoa; Chordata; Mammalia; Artiodactyla; Bovidae. The record is from Rfam by way of RNAcentral.